AGGACGGUGCAGUGCGUGUGCCCUGCUCCCUGUUGGUGUAAUGGUGAUGGACAUGUUAUGUGGUGGAGAAGGGGACAAAAAAUAGAUGGUCGAGGAGGGUCAGUUGGGGGAAGUGAGAAUUGUACCUGUUUUCAUCUGAGGAAUGUUGAAGGGUCAUGAUGUACACACAUUCAAGACUGAACCUCUGGUUAAUAGGUUCAAUAUUUUAAAUAGUGAAGGUUUGUUUAUAAACACGAAGACUAAUUGAAGUAAUUUUAGAAUUCAUGUUAAGAAUUAUAUAUAUAUAUAUAUUGUAAAAUACUUCUUAAUUUUUUACCAGAUGAAGUGCUGCAUCUUUAAGCUUUAUGGAGUGAACAGAGACAUUUCUAACCUAUAUAUAGCAUAUGCAAGAAACAGGAGAGGGAGAUCCAUACGCAAGGAUUUCCCUCUUGUUAAGCGGCAAUCUAAGUUUUUUGUUUUCAUCACGGAUGUGACCUAUGUGCACAAGCCUUAAUCGUUAAAGAAGAGGAAUGUGUACAGAGUGCUAAAUUGCCAAACAUAGAGUAUAGACAGCUUUAGUAAAUGAAAAUGUUUCCCUUUAUAGAAAAAGUAACCAUUAACACCACACUCUACAUUUUCUGAAAAGUCAAACUUCAUUAGACACCAAGAAUUGUCUGAUUUAAAGGCUUAAGAUUAUCAAAUAAACCAUGCCUGAUUUUUAAACAUUGGAAUAUUAGUAUGAGAAAAGUCUUCAUGUAAAUCUGAAUGAAAGAAUUUCAAAGCUACUCUUAACUGAUGAAGUUUUUUUUUUUAAGGAGGGGGAGAACCUCCGUUUGGAUUUGAAGCAAACAAAAAUGUUUUGGUGAAAUAGGAUUAGUUCUUAAAUCUCAAGAAAGCUUGUGGAGUCAUGCAAAAUAGAAAAGAGAGGUUUAGCCUGCAUAGAAACAGAAUCACAUGAGCAAAAUAUUCAGACUUUCAUUCAUGUGAUGCUUGGUUGUUGUUGGCAACAAAUCUUUAAGAGGAAAAAAAAAGUGCAGCAAUUUUUUAUAGCUCAGAGGUUCAGUUUGCUUGGCAUUUUGUGGUGCAUAAAAUGUAAUCAUUGUCGGGUGGGUAAGGAAAGCUUAAAAUGGAAACAUGAUAAAAGUGAAUUUGAUUCAGUCUUGUCCUUUCUUUUUUAGAAUGCGUAGCCAUUUUCAUGAAAGCAUGUAGCAUCAGGCCAUAAAUAUAUCAAGUACACAAAAAGGGAAGAACUUUAGGAAUGAUCAUGUAAAAAAAUAUGCUGCUAGGGGCACAUAUAAAAGUAGUUGAAAGUGUGUAAUAAAUCACAAACAGUUUCAUCUUCUUAUUGGAAAUUCCCACUUUUAUUUUCUGAGAGUUUCUAUGGAUGAGCAGUAGUAUGGUGUAGUUGUAGGGAAGAGACUGGAAGCUUCUGCUCCUGCUAAACUGUGGUUUGAGAAAGCAGGAUAGUUUUGCCCAAGUUGGGCAUGCAAGGAAAGGGGACGGGUGAUAAGGGAAAUUGCAGGUGUGUGGCUUGUUCCAUGGUUUAUCAUGCCAAUAUGGUUACAUAUGGACGAGGCCAAUAAGCUGAUUUGAAACAUGCUAGCUACUAGUUAUUGUCUGAUAUUUUCACUUAGUUGUAGGAGGCAUUAUUGACCACUGUUUUUCUAAACAGUUUCUGGGAAUAUGAUUGAACAGUGGUAUUAAAAUAAUAAAGAAAUAAUAGAGCACCUUAUUUUCACAGGUUUUUCAGGGUUUCAAGGCAACAUAGGGACAUUUUUUUUCUGUCUUUGUGCACCAUAGAAAACAGUAUUUCUAACAUACAACCUACAGCUCACUUUUAAAACAAACAAACAAACAAAAACAAACAAACUGCAGUCUCUUCAGAGCUACUUGGAAAUGCUGUCCUCCUACUCUGGGAUUCUAAGUGGUUGUUUCGAUUGAUGUUUUGCUUUCUUUCUUUUGAUGCCAUUUUUUAAAUACUAUAUUUGUAUUUUAUACCUCUUAGUUACCAAGAGCACUAUUUGGCAGAAAUGCAGGAUAUAAUAAAUGCUAUAUAUAUAUAUUUAAAACAAAACAAUAACCUCAGAUUUUGUAGUUGAAAAUUCGUGUUAAGUGGUGCUGCCUUGGAGCUGGUUCAGAAACUUCAUCAUGUGAAAAACAUGAUGACUAUGACAUUUGGUGCAGUUUAUGAAGAGCACGUAACACUGAUUUUGAAAGGAUUGUGCUGGCUGCUGAUUUGAUAUUGAGUCAAAUUCAAGGUUUUUAUGCUAACCUAUAAAAUCCUAUAUACCCCAGGGCAUAGUAUUCCUGUACAUUAAUAGCUAUGGGGGAGGCCAUUCUAGAGGCACUGCAGCAAUUUAAGAUGCACUUUGCAGCAACCUGAUGGAGGAUUUUGGUCAUGGUACCUCAGUGGUAAAUCUUGCUCCCAUUUGAAAUAAGACAGUUUUAUAACUUUUAGGUGCCAGCUUAAGACACACCUUUUCACUCAGGUGCUUACUGGAUAUUAGUGCCUGUGCCUGUGUCUGUCUGUUAUUAUUUUCGUUUUUCUGGUUGCAAAUUGUGAUAUAUUUAUUCCUCCUGUUUUAUAUGUCGUAUUUUCACUUUUUAUGUAACCUGCUCCAGGAUUGCUACUGUAAUGAAAAGUGGAUAAUAAAUAUAUUAAUGAAUGAACAAAUUAAAUGAAACUGGAUGCUGAUUGAAAGGCUGCUCAUACAUGUACAGUCCUCUUCGUUCUAUUGAAAAUAAAUUAUGGGUGUCAGGUCAAGCUCAUUUAUCUGCCACAUUCUUUUAUCUGUAUCAUUUUAAAUCCAUAUAAACCACAGUGGAAUUAAUUGUGAUGAUGGGCAAAAAAGGGUGUUGUUUUUUUAAAAAAAGUAAAUAAAUAAAAUUAAACUCUGGUUGGGAUUAAGAAAUGGGUCCUAAGGAAUGGACCGCCACAAAAUUCUCCCCAAAUCCCAGAUGGGGACUGUGUGAUGACAUCAAUGCUUGAAGAAAGGCAGAGGGCUUUUAGAAAUGAAGUGGGAACAUUUUCCCUUUUUUGCUUACUGCUUUUGAGGUGUCUAUAUUGGCCUGUAAAGGUUCAUCCCAAUUUGCAGGACCAUAAUUAGGAGCAACUCCAUCAUAUCCUCUGUGUGCCCCCCACCCCCAUAACCAAUGAAAGAGAGACUUGUCUGGUUUAUUAUUUUCCAUAACUAGGACUCUCUCUCUUUCCUUUCCUUUCUACUUGAUUUGUGUUUUAUUCUGUUUCUUACCUGGUUUAUGUGUAGUUCUAAAGCUGUUCACGUAGCAGAUUCAAUAUGUUUUCAGCCAGGGAUUUCAGUUAAGAUGAUUAGUUGCUCCACUACAAUGCUAGUGGACAAGAUUAACACAUGCGAAUCACUAUAUGAAAUAAGGCUUACGCACAUUCAUUCUGGGCAAGUGUUAAACUACAAAUUAUAUUCCAGAAUGCAGCCUUCACUUUGUUUCCUCUCAGGAUGGAGGAUUACAUCCAGGCGUGGAAUUAAAACACACACAGACCUCUGCUUGGUAUGUGAAAUUUGCUUGUUAUUGUGCUAACAGAAAUAGGAACGUGCCAUUGUUUAAUAUAAACUUUUUGAGAAACUUUAACUGUGCCUUUACAAAAAAAUAAAUAAAUGACAGUGAAACAAAAAUUUUGAAAUAUAAUUUGUAAAGCACUUCCAGUCUUUUGUUUAUAAAUAUGGAACAAUGCAUAAUGUUGACGAUUUUGAAAAGCUGUACCCUCGAAAGCCCAGAGUGGGUGACUUUUACAUUCUUCUAAAAUACACAAACUAAAAAUAUAUUGAGUUACAUUUGCUUGUGCUUCUCUUGAAAAGUUUACCAAAGCAAUGCUAUUUUAGCAAUGAAUUUUCUAGACAAUUAAAAUUUGAUGCAAAAUUUACUUUAUUUAUCAAAUUUAUGUAUAUCUUGCCCUUCCUCCCAAUGGAGGAGAAAUAAAAUAAAAUCAUAUUUAAAACUUAAAAACAUAUAAAAAAAUGAAACGUAAUAAAAUAAAAUAUUGUUGCAUAUCACUUCAAGCGGUGCGAGAUUCCAGACCUUCCUCUUUUUCCAGGGCAUUCUUGCAGCACAGACACAGUUUUCCCACCACAGCAAACAUGCAAAAAGCACAAAUCAACAGCAUUAUUUUUUAAUAAAACAUUGCCAAAACCUGUGGGAAGGAUCCCUGCAGCAAAUAAGUAAACAGUCCCGGAAAGCACAAAUCCCUGCCCACUCACUGGAUAGGCGUCAGUGGAGCAUGAGAUUGAAUAAUUGAUAUAAGGUGCUAAUGUAGAUUUUAUAAUCUCAGACAGUUUGCUGCCUCUGAGAGAAAAAAAAAAUCGGUUAGAAGCAAGCAGUGUAUAACAACUGGCCUCCUGAUUCAAUUAGUGGUCUACACAAACCAGGAUCCUCUCUCCAACAGCAAUGUGUGAUAACGGUUUUCAUGCACUGAAAAACUACACUGAAUUAUUACCCCCUCAUUGGAACUUUCCAGUUGUUCAAAUCCGCUGGUUUCUUCAUGUUAGGAUAGCAUACAUAAAUAUACUUAUAUAUAUAAAAAACUAUUUAGGAACCUACUACACAUAUUAUCUAAUAGCUGUAAAUAUUUUGAGGCUAAUAAAUUAUUGAAUAAAUUAACUGCUCCAACACCAUUGGGGAAUAAGGCUGUGAACCAAGAAAUUAGAAUAUGCAGUGCCAGAGCUGGAAGCAAUCUGCAGGUGUAGUUAUAAAAUAUGCAUGGCUUCUUGGCUCAUUUCACAAGAAUUAGCAAUCAUUAAUAUAAUUACAGUUUUUAGGAUGGUAAAGACCUUGGUUAUACUCAAGCCUGGGCCAACCACAGUGCUGUUGUUGUUUUUUUAACCCAAGACACUUGAAAACAGUAUCUGAUAGUCACACUACUUACAUUCAACUCAGUGUAGCCUCUAAUAAUCCCCACUUUAUUUCACACAAGUAAUAUAUUCCCAUAUCUCUGCUUUGCCCACUAUCCAUUAUUAUUCCACAACUAGUGCUGUCGGAUUUUCUUCUCCCUUCCUGUUCAACCCCCAUCAUGGCACAGAUACUUCCCAUGAAUUCUUUUUGCCAUAGUUGCACUUCAGUGGAUGAAAAAAAUGGGGGGAAAGUAGACUUGUGUAAAACGAAUUGCAGUGGAAUGGAAUAAACUGACAGGAGCCGGUACAUAACACCACACACAUUGGAGUGAAUACUUUACUGGCAAAAACAGGAUCUGUACAGGAGUGUCAGGCCUAGUGAGCACAGCAACUUGUGUCCGGCAGGUCUUGCCCCCAUGAUAAAGUUGCUGAGACCCUGCCUCCCCACAUCUGCCUAAGUUCCUUCUCCAGGGUUCCCCCCCCCCCCCAGCAAUCUGAGACUGCGGCAUGCCUGUGUGAAGCUAAUUUCUCCGCCCUCUUCAUGCCUUUCCUGGAUCUGGGACACCAGGGGGGAAGGGGAGCUUGUCGCAGCAAAAACACCCACGCCUCUUCAGCAGCUGCACUCUUCCUUCCUCUUCUGUUUCAGUUUCUACCUUUGAUUCUGGACUUCUCUCCACCACAGACUCCCUCUGCUCCCUAAGCCUUGUUACCCCUUAAGCUUCCAAUACCUCCUCCUCUCAGUCUUCUUUUUCUUCUUCCUCUGACCAGUUAAAGUUGUUCCAUCACCUGGCUCUCAGCCUUCUACCCCUGGGGGUUCCCCAGCUAGUCCUCCCACUAUUCCUCCCCGUCCAACCAGACCAUAACACAUACAGUGGUAACUCUAGUUACGAACUUAAUUCGUUCUGGAGGUCUGUUCUUAACCUGAAACUGUUCUUAACUAGAGGCGUGCUUUCGCUAAUGGGGCCUCUUGCUGCCGCUGCACACAAUUUCCAUUCUCAUCCUGGGGCAAAGUUCUCAACUUGAGGUAACUCUUCUAGGUUAGUGUAGUUUGUAACCUGAAGUGUUUGUAACCUGAGGCAUUUGUAACUUGAGGUACCACUGUACUAGCCAAAAACAUGAAUGAAGACCAGCAUGGAUUGAGGAAUGCUCAUGCUUACUUAACCAUAACCAUUUUUCUGUUUUGAAGAGUUUAGAGGGAUUUGCAUAUGACUCCUAGGUGGUCUACAGCCAGGCAAUUUACAGGACCAUGUUUGCUCUGUUUCAGAUAUAGUUCUGUGUUGCAUGCCUGUUGACCACUCUCUGAACAAUAAUCAAUGUAAAUCAGCUUUCAAAAGAAACAUGCACCUACUUGUGGUUAGCAAUAAUUUUUUUAAAUGAUAUUUUAUAAUUUAUAGG
Molecule: non-coding RNA, 6236 nt
Organism: Podarcis lilfordi (Lilford's wall lizard)
Lineage: Eukaryota; Metazoa; Chordata; Lepidosauria; Squamata; Lacertidae
Source: the annotation of a GenBank genome assembly